UACGUAGGGUGCAAGCGUUGUCCGGAAUUAUUGGGCGUAAAGAGCGUGUAGGCGGCCCGAUUAGUCCGCUGUGAAAGUCCAGGGCUCAACCCUGGAAUGCCGGUGGAUACUGUCGGGCUAGAGUCCGGAAGGGGCGAGUGGAAUUCCUGGUGUAGCGGUGAAAUGCGCAGAUAUCAGGAGGAACACCGGUGGCGAAGGCGGGUCUCUGGGCCGUUACUGACGCUGAGGAGCGAAAGCGUGGGGAGCGAACAGG
This 253-nucleotide ribosomal RNA is filed under the name uncultured bacterium. Its description in RNAcentral is "partial 16S ribosomal RNA". It matches the Rfam family "Bacterial small subunit ribosomal RNA", at positions 524 to 776 of the family's 1533-position model. The record is from RNAcentral.